UACGGAGGGGGCUAGCGUUGUUCGGAAUUACUGGGCGUAAAGCGCACGUAGGCGGACUGGUCAGUCAGAGGUGAAAGCCCGAAGCUCAACUUCGGAACUGCCUUUGAUACUGCCAGUCUAGAGUCCGGAAGAGGUGAGUGGAAUUCCUAGUGUAGAGGUGAAAUUCGUAGAUAUUAGGAAGAACACCAGUGGCGAAGGCGGCUCACUGGUCCGGUACUGACGCUGAGGUGCGAAAGCGUGGGGAGCAAACAGG
RNAcentral lists this ribosomal RNA (253 nucleotides) under uncultured bacterium. RNAcentral describes it as "partial 16S ribosomal RNA". It matches the Rfam family "Bacterial small subunit ribosomal RNA", at positions 524 to 776 of the family's 1533-position model. The record is from RNAcentral.